UCAUGUCAGUCCCCUUCGGGGCACUGCCAGUCUGACUGUCAGAGGCCCCGGGUUCGAAUCCCGUACCGCGCAUAUUUUUUUUCGUAUUUCUUUCUUUUUCUGUUUUGCUGGUUUUCUUUUGAGUAAACCUACC
Sordaria macrospora k-hell is the source of this 133-nucleotide non-coding RNA. Lineage: Eukaryota; Fungi; Ascomycota; Sordariomycetes; Sordariales; Sordariaceae. The record is from the annotation of a RefSeq genome assembly.